UCGCCUGUUUAUCAAAAACAUGGUUUCUUGAAUAAAAUAAGAAAUUUAACCUGCCCCCUGAAUUUAUUUUAAAGGGCCGCAGUAUAUUGACUGUGCAAAGGUAGCAUAAUAAUUAGUCUUUUAAUUGAGGGCUGGUAUGAAUGGUUGGAUGAAGUAAGAACUGUUUUAUAGAAAUUAAAUUGAAUUUAGAUUUUAAGUAAAAAUACUUAAAUUGAAUUAAGGGACGAGAAGACCCUAUAGAGUUUAAUAUAUGAAAUAAUAAAUUAAGUUAAGAAUAAAUUUUUAAUUAUUAUAAAAUAUAUUUAAUUGGGGAGAUUGGAAGAUAAAAUAAACUUUUUUUUAAGUUAGAUUCAUUAAGAAAUUAUAAGAUCCAUUAUUAGUGAUUAAAAGGUUAAAUUACCUUAGGGAUAACAGCAUAAUUCUUUUUAAAAGUUCAUAUUGAAAAUAGAGUUUGUGACC
Molecule: ribosomal RNA, 459 nt
Filed under: Deroplatys sp. MN168
Lineage: Eukaryota; Metazoa; Arthropoda; Insecta; Mantodea; Mantidae
Description: partial 16S ribosomal RNA
Rfam family: Bacterial large subunit ribosomal RNA (bases 1-166)
Source: RNAcentral